This 442-nucleotide ribosomal RNA is filed under the name uncultured bacterium. RNAcentral's name for it is "partial 16S ribosomal RNA". It matches the Rfam family "Bacterial small subunit ribosomal RNA", at positions 339 to 795 of the family's 1533-position model. The record is from RNAcentral.
CUACGGGGUGCUGCAGUGGGGAAUAUUGGACAAUGGACCAAAAGUCUGAUCCAGCAAUUCUGUGUGCACGAUGACGGUCUUCGGAUUGUAAAGUGCUUUCAGUUGGGAAGAAAAAAAUGACGAUACCAACAGAAGAAGCGACGGCUAAAUACGUGCCAGCAGCCGCGGUAAUACGUAUGUCGCAAGCGUUAUCCGGAUUUAUUGGGCGUAAAGCGCGUCUAGGUGGUUUGAUAAGUCUGAUGUGAAAAUGCGGGGCUCAACUCCGUAUUGCGUUGGAAACUGUCAAACUAGAGUAUCGGAGAGGUGGGCGGAACUACAAGUGUAGAGGUGAAAUGCGUAGAUAUUUGUAGGAAUGCCGAUAGAGAAGUCAGCUCACUGGACGAAUACUGACACUGAAGCGCGAAAGCAUGGGGAGCAAACAGGAUUAGAUACCCCAGUAGUC